CCUCUGGAGAGAUCCGUUAAAUCGGACGCCGAAGGAGCAACUUAACGCAUGUAUACCAUGGUUAGGGAAACUCUCAGGCAAAAGGACAGAGG
Molecule: non-coding RNA, 92 nt
Filed under: Vibrio stylophorae
Lineage: Bacteria; Pseudomonadati; Pseudomonadota; Gammaproteobacteria; Vibrionales; Vibrionaceae
Description: Glycine
Rfam family: Glycine riboswitch aptamer
About the family: This family represents the bacterial glycine riboswitch. Glycine riboswitches usually consist of two metabolite-binding aptamers domains with similar structures in tandem.
Source: RNAcentral